This 6301-nucleotide long non-coding RNA is filed under the name Salmo salar (Atlantic salmon). RNAcentral's name for it is "lncRNA (ENSSSAG00000107419.1)". Lineage: Eukaryota; Metazoa; Chordata; Actinopteri; Salmoniformes; Salmonidae. The record is from RNAcentral.
GAAAAACCCUUGAAUGAGUAGGUGUCCAAACUUUUGACUGGUACUGUACAUGCAUAUCAGUGCAGAGAACCACCUACCAUUGCCCAGGUGCUGAAAUUAAUAAAGAUUUAAUUUGUGUCAACUUCUUCACAUGGGGGCAAUUCAUAAUAAACUCAAGACAAAACCAGAUUUUCCAUUAAAACAAAAGUUUAUUCUCUGUAAUUUUAUUAUAAUAAGACACUUCUCUGCUUGUACAUUGCUCCCUUGAACUUAAAAAAUGGCAACAUUUGUGGGAAUGUAAGUUGGGGUAGACAAAAACGUUGAUAUAUACACAUGUAUAUAUUGGUAUGUUACGGUUCCAUUAAUAAACCAUAAAUUAUAGAACAGCUUUAACCACUCCAGGUACCUUGGUAAUGCUGUAAAUAUAGUACAAUCUUUGAGGCUUUCAAGAAUACACUGUUUUCUUUAAACAUGGAUACAUACAAUAUGAGCACAUCAAUAGUAAGAGUUAAGGAAGGAUGCAGGGCUCAUAAGCCUGUGUUAAGUGUAUGGCUACCAAUGUUUUUUUUCUUCACAGGCAAGGCAAGCUGCACCCAUGGAUGUGGUAAUGCUUAGUAGAAGUCAGUGGAAAAUAAAAUGUACCCACUUCAUUUUUGCCUACCUUGGUGUAUGGCAAAAAUGGCAGUAUACCCAAGUAACUGAUUAUGUACUUAAUUUGGAUAAACAUAUACUUUAAUGUAUAUACAUAAAUGUAUAAGAAAGAACUGUAGAAUUGUCUUAAUAUAGUUCUUAAAACUAAGUGUGGGCAAACAAGGCAAAAGUGUUUGCCAUUCACAUGACCUCCCCCCCAAAAAGUAUACAGACACCAGAAAUGCAUGCACACACAAAUGCACACUCAAAUGCCCUACUCAAAACAUCCCAAAGCUAAUCUUAAAAUGGUGGCUGUCAGUAAACAAACAAACCCCAACUUACAAGCAGUGAAAAAUGUAUGCAGAUAAAUAAAAUAAAGUUAUAAUCUUAUCCAUUUCAACUUGGAUGCCGCCCCCAUCAAAUUUUCAAAACAAGCUGUAAGCCAUUUUGUGAAUCUGUCAGUCUACAUCAAAAGUUCUAAACCCAUGUAUUCCCUGUAACACUCUAAGAGAAUAGUAUUAUACCUUGCAAAUGUAUUUGGACAUUUGAGAAAUCAGUGGUGUGACAUCACCUUGGCCAUUUUCCACCAUAGUCCAAGAUUCAGUUCAAUUGAGCUAUAUAGUUGCCACCGAGGUUUUGGAAAGGUUGUCUUGAAAUAAUGUACACUUUGAAAAUACUUCCUCAAUAUGGAGCUCUUGCCAGCCCGACUUUUGUUACAGGGGUCUCUUCUACAGCACAGUGCAGUUGUAUUUGAGUAGAGCGCCUUCCUACAUUGAGUAGGACAGCAUGAAUAUAGUAGUACAAUACUCUUGAUGGCCAAACUUAGCACUCUGGAACCAGAGUACGACACCUGCUGCAUAAUGUAACAAAUCUGUUCAAUAAAAAUACACCAACAAGUUUUUUAUACUAAUAGGAGUGGACUCAUUUAUCAAUUGAAGAAAAUAAAAAAAUUCGAAAAGAAAAUAGUCAAACGGUAUCUUAAAAUAAGAGCAUAUAACUUUAUAUUUCUUUCUCGCAACAUGACUUGCAUUUUCAUUGAACAAAUGUUUCCCUGACCAGAAGUUUCAUGUGAAAGUAUCUUGAGAAAAAAAAUUGCCUCCACAGAAAAUGUAUUUGUUUUAUUUUUAUAUAAAGCAUUCAAGCUAUUAAUUCAGUGUUCUUAGGGUAAACAAACUUGAUGAAUAGGAGAAUCUUUCUUCCGCAAAACGUCCUUUUUUGCAGUGUAUAUAACAGGGCUCUCCAACCCUGUUCCUGGAGCACUACUGUCCUGUAGAAUUUCACACCAACCCUAAUCUAGCACACACGUUUCUCAAAAUUAGCUAGUUGAUAAACUGAACCAGGUUAGUUACAACUGGGGUUGGAGCGAAAAACUACAGGAGGGUAGCUCUCCAGGAAUAAGGUUGAGACCCUUGGUAUAGAACGUCUGUAGCUUGUGAGAAGAGAAUGCUACGUUGAGAGGACCUUUUAUCUAACAGGAACAAAAGAGCAACAGAAAGUAAUAAGAGCAGGUCAACAAUAACAAAAUCACACCGUCUAGUUCUGAACAAGCAGCAAAGACAUUGAUAUUAGAGACAACAAUCAAUGUGAGGAGAGUGUGGAUGGGUGAGCAGUAGUACUUCAACUGGCCUGUUGUGGCUGUCACAGUAAUUAAAGAGAUGUACUUGUUCGUCGGGAGAUCAAAAACUCAGAGGGAGGUGGGGGGGGUAUUGUAUAAAAAGUUAUUUUAAAGACCUGCUUUGCAGAAGAAAAAUACACACCCCUAACUUUUUAAGGGGGGGGGGGGGGGCUGAAACAAAACUGACAAGAGGCAAAGAGGGGAAACAAAACAAAGUUAAUUAUUUUGUAUAAAUCUAUGGUACAAUUGUUCUCGUUAAAAUAAGAACCUGCACCCCCCCACCCCACGUGGGAAAAUAUAAUGCAGAUAACUGCCCUACAGAAUACCACCCCAGCCCAAAGCGUGGUAGAAAUAUACACAGGUACAUAAAUAUAAAAAUCUGCCUUCUCCUGGUUAGCCAAUUUAUCCAACAUGUUUAUCAUGACAUGUUUAACAUAUCAUACUGCAUACACACAAACUACUGCGCGUGAUUGUGUAUGUCUGUUAUAUGUCAUAUUGUGCUUGUAAAUGCAAACACGUGUGUUGUUUUUUAAAAAAUGUUUUCGGUCAAAAGGUGUGUGUUCAAAACGAACAAGCGUGUCUGCUGAUCCUAAAUCGGGGUGGAAUUCUGAAGGGUGGUGGUGGGUACAACUGAAAAGGGGGGAGCAGAGUGACACUUUACAAUAACGGACGGUAGAUAGUAGAUGGAUGAAGAGCGAAAGAAGCCUAACGUGUGUACAUUGUCUCCAUAACUAUGUAUUGAACAAUAAUGUGCUAAUAUGUUAAGGGACGAGAACAGAGAGGCUGAAGGAACGACAGACAAAGGGAUAAAUAACAGUGGGGCGGGGUGGAUGCAUUUGAAAUGUUUCCAGAUCUUCCACUUCACUUCCUGUUUUUGGGGGAGGGCCAGUUUCCACGGCGCUCGCCGCGUUGGCCCCCUCCGUUUCCGGCUCCGCCUCCACCACCACUGGGCGGGCCCCGUGGGCCUCUUCCUUCUCUUCCCUCUCUUCCUCCAGCAUUGACCCUCCUGUUCUGUCGCUCCAUCCCGGGACGCUGGCUGGAGAAGCUUCUCUUGUUGGCCGCCUGCUCUUUCGCCGUCAUCUCUCGCUCAACGACCCCUCCUCCUCCCCCGCCUCCACCACCUCCUCUUCCGGGUGGGUGAUGAUGGUGAUGGGAGGAAUAGGACUUGCCCCCUCCUCCCUCCCUCUCCCGGAACUCAGUGAAGUCACUGCUCUCAGAGGCGGUCUCCCACUCCUCAUUGGCCUGAUCGGAGUUCUGGUUGGAGAAGUCGGGGGAUUUGGCACCCCCUGCUGGGUUGUGGUGAUGCUGAGAUUGGGCCUGGCCGGAGAUGCCCUGGUUGUAGUGGUGGUGGUGGUGACUGUUUGCAUUAGCACUUCCAAGAUGGCCACCGGUACUGUUGUUGCUGUUGUUGGUAGCCGUGGUCGCAUUGGGGGCAUCGCCGGUUGUGGGCGCCGCGAUGGGAGUGCCGUCAGUGACAUCCUGAACAUAACUCUGUCCGGGCGAGGAGGGUCGUCCUCCUCCGAUGAUCCCGACUCCUCCGUUGAUGCGAGCGGCGUUCUCUCGCUCCUUCAGCCGCCGGAAGCGUGGUGGCUUAUCCUGUUGAUGCUGGGAGCGCCCGUGGCGACGGCGUCUCGGAGGGCGCUCAAAGCCAUCACGCGGGACGCGAGGGAAGCCACGCCCAUCCGGCCCAGAGAGAGGGAGUGGAAGGGGCCCGCUGGAGUUGGUAGUGGGGUUAGCCAUGGAUUGCUGGAUCCCAACUCCUCCGUUCUCUGUGGAGCCCUGUGGGGCUGGAGUAGGUGCAGCGGGGAUAGACUGCGGAGGGGUUGCUCCUCCCUGAUUCUGAGCUUGGCUUCCGUCCGCUGCCUUCUCCUUCUUCUCUCCACUGGUUCCACGACCCGUGUCUUUAGGUGCGGCCGACUGCAUUGGGGCCUGAUGCUUGCGGACCGAGGAUGAGGACUUGGAGGCCCAGCCGUGAGGGUCGGCCCUAGAUCCUGACCUGUGACCUCCAGCCAUUCCUCCUCCACCACCACUUUUAUAGAUACCUCCUCCCCCGCCACCUCCUCCCCCGCCACCUCCCCCCCCCUGCCCCUCCUGGAGGGCACACCUCUGGGGGUGAACACCCGGGCAUGGGAGCCUCUGGGUGGGCCGGAGCCGCUACCGGUAACGUUAUCUGUGCCGCUGCCGUUCUUGGUGCUGGACUUGCGGUCUUCUUUGUCCGACUGGGCUAGGUCGCUGGCGGCACUCUCGCUGCCCGUCUCUGACCCCCUCUGCCUCCUCCUCUUUGGGACCUCCUCAUAUUCAGAACCCUCGCUGCGGGUCUCGCUCUGAUUACGGGCACGCCCCGGGUUGGCCUGCGACCCCCCUCGGCCGCGCCUUCCCCCCCAAUGCCUCGUCGUAGCCUCCGCCGGAUCGGUAGUCUCGGCUGCUCCUGCUGCCCGCUGCCCUGCCACGGCUAACGCUGCCAGCCCCGGCCAUGCCCGUGUAGGUGCCUCGGUAACCCCGGCCGCGCCCGUAGAACUCGCCACCUCGCCCGACUCUGCUGCCACGGGCCGAGACGCUGUGGUAGGACGCACCACCGCCCCUCUCGAAGGAACGCUCUCUGUCCCGCCUGUUAGAGGGGUGGCCGGAGUACCCUGAUGAGGGGGUAGAGUUGACCCCAUUUUUGGGCCCCUUACCCACUCCUCCUCGUUCGUUUGCUGCUCGAUCCUUCCCUCCAUUUCUGGGUUUAGGACCGGUCUGAGCCGGCUCUUCUUUACCAGACACUGCAGCGAAGCUCUGUGGGCCGGAGGAUCCUUCCUGCUUGACUGAUGAAUGGCCUCCAUCUUGUCUUUCGUCUUUGUCUUUUCCGAAACCUCCGCUGGUCUUUUCUCCUCCCUCGCCCUCCCCUCCUCCCUCUCUCUUCAGCACAGGCCUCUUGAUAGGCCCCGCCCUCUUGUUGGUGUUGCCGCCUCCCGAUUGGCCACCGGCGGGUUUGUUGUGGUCAGACGCUGUUGGGUGAUUGGAUGAAUCCUCCCCUCCGCGGGAGUUUCCACCCAUUGCUCUCCUGUUGUGUGAGGAGGGGACCCCUGUGUUGCUGCUGCCAGGCCUUGGCCCCCACUGGGUCUCAGUCUUGUGUUCCCUCCCGCCUCGCUCCCUCUGGUUGGGCUUGGGGUCACGGUGGUGGUGCUGCUCCUGGCCCUGCCUCUGCUGCUGGGACUGAGGAUGGGACUGCUGAGAUGUCACAGAGGGCUGAGAGUGGCUGUGGACAGGGCCCAUCUUAUCCUGCUUCAUUUCUCUGCUGCUUCCUGCUUCAUGUCUCUGCCCGGUUUCUGUGUCGGCCUCGCGCUGAGGUGGGAGGUGAUGCAGGACCGCCUUUCCACUGCCGUCCUCCCUGGAUGAGGAAGAGGAGGAUGAGCAGGAGGAGAGGGACGGCUGUUGGAGCAAGGGCGAGGGGUCACCCUUCUUCGGGGCUUCGCCUCCUCUCUCGCUGCGGCCAUUCUCGGGCUUGUGGAGAUGGAGGGGGAAGGGGGCUUGAUGUUGUUGAUGACCAUGGUGUUGAGGGUGGUGGGAGUUGUUAUUCUCCAGGGGGGAGAGGUCAGUGCGCCCGUUGCGGUCGUAGUGGGGGCGAGGGGCCCCCCAGAUCUGGCCCUGUUGCUGGCCGCCCUUGUGGCCCUGGCCCUCAUCCUGGUGGCUGAAGCCUCCGCCACUCCCCCUUUGUUGCUGUUGCUGGUGGGGGGCCAUGCGGGAGCCCUGGUCGUGGAAGUUGCUGUAGUUGCCCCGGCCUCCCAUGUAAGACUGGUGGUGGUGACUGCCUCCUCCCUGGCCCCCCACCUGAGUGCCCACAGGUGGUGGGGUCUGGUUGGAGGAGCCCAAGCCAGAGUUGGGCUGCUGGAUGGGGCCUAGCCCUCCCUCUCGCAAACCACGGACUGGAGGGGUGUCACUCCUAAAAUAAAGACCAGAGAUUUUAUAAAAGACACUUACGGAAACCGCAUCCUGUACUUACAACACUGACUCAAUUCAAAUAUUUAUAAUCUAAUGUGAUUUCAACUAAUAUAUAUUUUCCUAUUCAAUCAGUAUUGUAUGAUCUGACAAUUAAAG